GACGAACGCUGGCGGCGUGCUUAACACAUGCAAGUCGAGCGAGCGGCGGACGGGCGAGUAAUGUAUGGGGAUCUGCCUGAUGGAGGGGGCUAACUACUGGAAACGGUAGCUAAUACCGCAUACCAUCAGAUGAACCCAUAUGGGAUUAGCUUGUAGUUGAGGUAACGGCUCACCUCGGCGACGAUCCCUAGCUGGUCUGAGAGGUUGAUCAGCCACACUGGGACUGAGACACGGUCCAGACUCCUACGUGAGGCAGCAGUGGGGAAUAUUGCACAAUGGGCGCAAGCCUGAUGCAGCAAUGCCGCGUGUAUGAAGAAGGCCUUCGGGUUGUAAAGUACUUUCAGUCGGGAGGCGUUACCCACAGAAGAAGCACCGGCUAACUCCGUGCCAGCAGCCGCGGUAAUAC
RNAcentral lists this ribosomal RNA (406 nucleotides) under uncultured bacterium. Its description in RNAcentral is "partial 16S ribosomal RNA". It matches the Rfam family "Bacterial small subunit ribosomal RNA", at positions 28 to 526 of the family's 1533-position model. The record is from RNAcentral.